UUGUAGUCCUGAUGAUGAGGAGUCGGACCUGCCCGGUGAAAUUUUUUAACGGCCGCGGUACUCUGACCGUGCAAAGGUAGCAUAAUCAUUUGCCUUAUAAUUGAAGGCUGGUAUGAAUGGUUUGACGAGAAUAUAACUGUCUCUUUACAAUUUGAUAGAAUUUUAUAUUUAGGUGAAAAAGCCUUAAUUUAAUUAAAAGACAAGAAGACCCUAUCGAGCUUAAGAGAAAUUAGCAGAUGUAUAGAUUUUUGGUUAAAAAAUAUAACUGUUAAAUAUUUUUGGUUGGGGCGACUGAGGAACAUGAGAAGCUUCCUUUUAUAAUCUUUUAUAUACGAAUUAUUGAUCCACAGUUAGUGAUUAAAGGAAUUAGUUACCGUAGGGAUAACAGCAUAAUCUUUUUUGAGAGUUCUUAUCGAAAAAAGGGUUUGUGACCUCGAUGUUGGACCAGAAUAUCCUAAAGAUGUAGAAGUCUUUAAGGGUUGGUCUGUUCGACCAUUAAAAUUCUA
This 506-nucleotide ribosomal RNA is filed under the name Myurellopsis undulata. Its description in RNAcentral is "partial 16S ribosomal RNA". It matches the Rfam family "Bacterial large subunit ribosomal RNA", at positions 1831 to 2598 of the family's 2925-position model. Lineage: Eukaryota; Metazoa; Mollusca; Gastropoda; Neogastropoda; Terebridae. The record is from RNAcentral.